Molecule: ribosomal RNA, 387 nt
Filed under: uncultured bacterium
Lineage: Bacteria
Description: bacterial SSU rRNA
Rfam family: Bacterial small subunit ribosomal RNA
Source: RNAcentral
AUUGAACGCUGGCGGCAUGCCUUACACAUGCAAGUCGAACGGUAACGCGGGGCAACCUGGCGACGAGUGGCGAACGGGUGAGUAAUAUAUCGGAACGUGCCCAGUAGUGGGGGAUAGCCCGGCGAAAGCCGGAUUAAUACCGCAUACGACCUAAGGGUGAAAGCGGGGGAUCGCAAGACCUCGCGCUAUUGGAGCGGCCGAUAUCAGAUUAGGUAGUUGGUGGGGUAAAGGCCUACCAAGCCGACGAUCUGUAGCUGGUCUGAGAGGACGACCAGCCACACUGGGACUGAGACACGGCCCAGACUCCUACGGGAGGCAGCAGUGGGGAAUUUUGGACAAUGGGCGCAAGCCUGAUCCAGCCAUGCCGCGUGCGGGAAGAAGGCCUUC